Molecule: ribosomal RNA, 459 nt
Filed under: uncultured bacterium
Lineage: Bacteria
Description: partial 16S ribosomal RNA
Rfam family: Bacterial small subunit ribosomal RNA
Source: RNAcentral
CCUACGGGUGGCAGCAGUGAGGAAUAUUGGUCAAUGGGCGGGAGCCUGAACCAGCCAAGCCGCGUGAGGGAAGAAGGUACAGCGUAUUGUAAACCUCUUUUGUCAGGGAACAAAGGCGGGGACUCGUCCCCGGAUGAGGGUACCUGAAGAAAAAGCAUCGGCUAACUCCGUGCCAGCCGCCGCGGUAAUACGGAGGAUGCGAGCGUUAUCCGGAUUUAUUGGGUUUAAAGGGUGCGCAGGCGGCCUGUUAAGUCAGCGGUAAAAGGCCGGGGCUCAACCCCGGCGAGCCGUUGAAACUGGCGGGCUGGAGUUGGAGAGAAGUACGCGGAAUGCGCGGUGUAGCGGUGAAAUGCUUAGAUAUCGCGCAGAACCCCGAUUGCGAAGGCAGCGUACCGGCUCCACACUGACGCUGAGGCACGAAAGCGUGGGUAUCGAACAGGAUUAGAUACCCGGGUAGUC